UAGAAAAAAGCGUCCGGCGACUGCGAGAGAAGUUCUACGGGAAGGUGACCAUCAGAGAUGCCGUCAUUCUGAUGCGGAUGUUCAAUAAUGAUCACGAUCUCGCCUGCCAGCGUAUUAUUGAACGCAAAAAUGAGAUGGGUGAUAUAGAUCUGGAAGAUGACCCGGACCUGGCUAGCGAUCUGGUGGCUUUGGAAUUGAUAGAGAGGCUGCAGGAAGAAGAGGAACAGAGGCAGCAGG
Sphaerodactylus townsendi is the source of this 237-nucleotide long non-coding RNA. RefSeq lists it as uncharacterized. The record is from RefSeq and is a predicted model, not a curated record. NCBI's taxonomy places the organism in Eukaryota, Metazoa, Chordata, Lepidosauria, Squamata, Sphaerodactylidae. The transcript has 3 exons.